Molecule: small RNA, 179 nt
Filed under: Caenorhabditis brenneri
Lineage: Eukaryota; Metazoa; Nematoda; Chromadorea; Rhabditida; Rhabditidae
Description: sRNA CBN34372
Source: RNAcentral
UGGGCCAAAAACGAAGUUUCUAGCUCAAUUUUGAAGUGAGUUAUGCACCUUCAAAGUUGAGGGUGAGAGAGUGAGAGACGGCAGAGAAAACGACUGUCUGCUUCUCUGCUGUCUCUCAAUCUCUCCCUUGGUUGCAUAACUCGCUUCAAAACUGAGCUAGAAACUUCGUUUUUUGACCG